UUCAGUUUAUAGCACUUCCGCAUUGGCUUCAUCGUUUGAGACCGGAGUUUGCCGCUUGGUUUCUACACUUUCCUCUCCUCUAGAAAUAAAAGAUGUCAAAGCACAAUAAAUGUCUUUAAAAAGGAAGAAAGAGGAGGAUUUCCCCUGUGUGUUUGACGAGGUGUUUCGGACUAAACGUGUGAGCAGUAUCUACAACUCUUGAGUAGUAAAUUGGGUUUCAAUUGUUUUUAAGAGCUGAAAUCUUAAAGUGUAUUAUUUGGCCUGUGUCCAAGUCACAUGACUGCAACCAAAUGGGAUACUCAUGCUUCCCAAAUUAAAUCCAUUCCACUUUUCUUUUCAAUAAAUGACAUCACUUUUGGUUUGAUAUUAAAAAAUAAAAGUGAUGAAAUCUGCUGUAACAUAA
Molecule: long non-coding RNA, 403 nt
Organism: Notolabrus celidotus (New Zealand spotty)
Lineage: Eukaryota; Metazoa; Chordata; Actinopteri; Labriformes; Labridae
Exons: 2
Source: RefSeq, a predicted model, not a curated record